This 804-nucleotide ribosomal RNA is filed under the name Streptomyces diastaticus. RNAcentral describes it as "partial 16S ribosomal RNA". It matches the Rfam family "Bacterial small subunit ribosomal RNA", at positions 46 to 865 of the family's 1533-position model. The record is from RNAcentral. Lineage: Bacteria; Bacillati; Actinomycetota; Actinomycetes; Kitasatosporales; Streptomycetaceae. RNAcentral also lists the same sequence under 1 other name.
GCUUUACACAUGCAAGUCGAACGAUGAAGCCCUUCGGGGUGGAUUAGUGGCGAACGGGUGAGUAACACGUGGGCAAUCUGCCCUGCACUCUGGGACAAGCCCUGGAAACGGGGUCUAAUACCGGAUAUGACCGUCCAUCGCAUGGUGGAUGGUGUAAAGCUCCGGCGGUGCAGGAUGAGCCCGCGGCCUAUCAGCUAGUUGGUGAGGUAGUGGCUCACCAAGGCGACGACGGGUAGCCGGCCUGAGAGGGCGACCGGCCACACUGGGACUGAGACACGGCCCAGACUCCUACGGGAGGCAGCAGUGGGGAAUAUUGCACAAUGGGCGAAAGCCUGAUGCAGCGACGCCGCGUGAGGGAUGACGGCCUUCGGGUUGUAAACCUCUUUCAGCAGGGAAGAAGCGAAAGUGACGGUACCUGCAGAAGAAGCGCCGGCUAACUACGUGCCAGCAGCCGCGGUAAUACGUAGGGCGCAAGCGUUGUCCGGAAUUAUUGGGCGUAAAGAGCUCGUAGGCGGCUUGUCACGUCGGUUGUGAAAGCCCGGGGCUUAACCCCGGGUCUGCAGUCGAUACGGGCAGGCUAGAGUUCGGUAGGGGAGAUCGGAAUUCCUGGUGUAGCGGUGAAAUGCGCAGAUAUCAGGAGGAACACCGGUGGCGAAGGCGGAUCUCUGGGCCGAUACUGACGCUGAGGAGCGAAAGCGUGGGGAGCGAACAGGAUUAGAUACCCUGGUAGUCCACGCCGUAAACGGUGGGCACUAGGUGUGGGCAACAUUCCACGUUGUCCGUGCCGCAGCUAACGCAUUAAGU